Molecule: long non-coding RNA, 2255 nt
Filed under: Pelobates cultripes (western spadefoot toad)
Lineage: Eukaryota; Metazoa; Chordata; Amphibia; Anura; Pelobatidae
Source: RNAcentral
GCAUAGUCCGGAGCGUCCGCCUUGUUGUCGUGCGCCGCCCAGCGGUCCCCCCGGGGUGGUUGCCGAAUGUGCCUUGUCUCAGCGGAAUCGUGGGCAGGGGUAGGGGAGGAAAGAAAACAGGUCAUGACAACACAUAUUGGUAACCUAUUAACAUAACCCAUAAGACAUUUAUCCCAACUUAGUGGAGGAUGAUCCUCCGUGAUCCUUCUACCUGUCGGAUCUAAAAUCCCGGUCUUAUCUCUCGCCAGGUCGAUCGGGGGUGGCCAUCCGCCGCGUCAAGAAGUGUCUCAAACGGGGCGGGUGUACAGCCCCAGAGCACCCCCGCGAGGCUCUAAGCUUGUGUCUAACUUGUCGUGGGUGUUUACGACAUAGGGUGUGACGAUCACCGGCUCCUGUGAGCCUAUCUGUAUAGGUGUGUCCUGAGGGAGGGGGUGUGAAUGGCCCUUCACCUGUCCUGCUGUUUUCCUCCGUGUCUUGGGUAUCUGAUCCCUCUCCCUGGGCCCUUUGGGUUUUUUUUUUUUUUGUUUGUUUUUUUUAACUUUUCCCUUACUUGCUUCCCCUCACUGUGUGCCCCUUUGUGUGGAAGUGCUAGAUGCGCAGUUGUGUCCCCUUGAACCUUUCCCCGGUGGGGGGGUGGAUGUAUGUCCUCUCCCACCUGUCACUUCCAACUUCCAAGCCCUUGCCUAGUUACUGUGGCCUUGUCUGGCGGGAAACAGCUGGUUCAUGCCCGAUUUGAGCGUCUCCAACGAUAGGGGGCCCUCUGCCAGCAGUACUAUGGCCGAUGGUUUGGUCUGGUCUAAGCCUGUUGCCUUUUGAUCAGACACCUCCCGGAGUAUAUGUGGGAUGGCUUGUUGUUAACCCCAAAAGGGUCGUUAAAUAUACCAUCCCACCCUAAUGUUAGCGAGUUUGCCUGCUUUUUUUUCUUCUUCCAAUUGUAUAUGGAGUGGCUAUAUUCGUACCCUUCUCCAUUCGGGUAAUCUCCCCCUCCCUAUCUUUCGUCAGACCCCAUGUCCCCUCUCUCCCCUACCAGCUUUCAAUUUUAACUAUGUCCGCAAUGUCCCUUUAAUGUGAUGUAUCAUAUAUAUCAACUUGCGUGUUGUAUUGUCCAUGUUGCGUGUCCCUCAGGCACGGGUCGCCAUCUUUGUUGCCUAUCUCGCUCUGCGUUCCAGCCAUUCCCUGGGAAGCAGUCCCAGCGCCCUGGGCCCCCUCGGUGGUAAGGUCAGGUCUCCCGGUACCUCGAUGCCCAGUUCUUGGAGGACGCCUCUGGGGUCCAUGGAUGGUGUCAGCACUGUCGGUCUUGGGCCAUUAAAGAUGAGCAUCUUAAAGGGGAAGCCCCAUGCGAAGCGCAGGCCUUUGGCUCUGAGGAGGUCAGCAAUGGGUUUCCAUUCUCGUCUUCUUGCGAGGGUAGUUGGAGCGAUGUCUUGGUAGAUCUGUAGCGUCUUUCCUUUAUACAUGUAUGGCUGGAGCCUGCUUUGCUUGAGAAUUGCUUCUUUCGUGGAAAAAAGUGCCACCUUAUGAUGACAUCUCUGGGAGGGCUGUUUUGCGGUCCCUUAGCUCGCAGUGCCCUGUGUAUCCUGUCGAUGUGCCACAGCUGAUCUGGUAUCUGUGGUAGGCUGGUGCGGAAGAUCUGCGCCAGUAGCUGCUCAAGGUCUCCAUCCCCUACCUCCUCUGGCAGGCCUCUUAUGCGCAUGUUGUUGCGCCGUGUUCGAUUAGAGUUGUCCUCCAGCUCCAUUUCCAGUUCAGCGACCCUGGUGAGUAGUGCGUUUGUGGCUGUGGUAUUUUCAUUGUGUGCUGCUACCACAUCUUCCAGCCUGCUCUCUAAGGCCUCUGUACGAAUGCCUAUGGCCUGGAUUUCUGCCUUCACCUCCCUGGCUGAUCUGUCUAUCUCCCCUGCCAGGUACCCCUUUACCUCCUCCAGAGAGUGGAGUAUAACGUUCUGGGGGUCCUCCGUGUGCCCAAAUAGGGAGGAUGUCGGCGUGGCCGGUGAGCCAGGAGUGGAGGUGCCCGUCGGGCUUUCCGCGCCAUGUGCACCACGUGGCGCGGGCUUAAUGGCGGCCAGCAUGUCUGCGACGGAUUGAUUGCCGCCACGCUGUUUCUUCCCCGCCGCCUUCCUCUGUGACAUGGUGCUCGGGGGUCCCUGCGAGCUUGCCGAGACUGGCGCUGUGUGUAGGGGUGAAUUUUACAGAGAAGUGCAGGUUGCCGGGCGGGUUGCAGAGCCUCUGGUGCGGAGCUCCGGAGUUAGGCUGCCAUCACUC